CCUACGGGUGGCAGCAGUGAGGAAUAUUGGUCAAUGGGCGCGAGCCUGAACCAGCCAAGUAGCGUGAAGGAUGACUGCCCUACGGGUUGUAAACUUCUUUUAUAAAGGAAUAAAGUGAGGCACGUGUGCCUUUUUGUAUGUACUUUAUGAAUAAGGAUCGGCUAACUCCGUGCCAGCAGCCGCGGUAAUACGGAGGAUCCGAGCGUUAUCCGGAUUUAUUGGGUUUAAAGGGAGCGUAGAUGGGUUGUUAAGUCAGUUGUGAAAGUUUGCGGCUCAACCGUAAAAUUGCAAUUGAUACUGGCAGUCUUGAGUACAGUUGAGGUAGGCGGAAUUCGUGGUGUAGCGGUGAAAUGCGUAGAUAUCAGGAGGAACACCGGCGGCGAAGGCGGCCUGCUGGACCGCGACUGACGUUGAGGCUCGAAAGCGUGGGGAGCGAACAGGAUUAGAUACCCGAGUAGUC
Molecule: ribosomal RNA, 460 nt
Filed under: uncultured bacterium
Lineage: Bacteria
Description: partial 16S ribosomal RNA
Rfam family: Bacterial small subunit ribosomal RNA
Source: RNAcentral